Molecule: non-coding RNA, 811 nt
Organism: Paramuricea clavata
Lineage: Eukaryota; Metazoa; Cnidaria; Anthozoa; Malacalcyonacea; Plexauridae
Source: the annotation of a GenBank genome assembly
CGUGUCUCGAGAUUUAUCAUUUUGCAUGAUUUUGCGGAAUUCUAUGUUGUAGGGUUCAGAUUUUCUGACAUCUUUUUACAAUAUCGGGGCCUAAAGCCUUCAAAAAUCACUUUAGUAUUUGGCUUGUAAGGGGGUCAGAAAUUCUGAACUCCGUGUCUCGAGAUUUAUCAUUUUUGCAUGAUUUUGCGGAAUUCUAUGCUACAGGGUUCAUAUUUUCUGACACCUUUUUACAAUAUCGGGACCUAAAGCCUUCAGAAAUCACUUUAGUAUUUGGUUUGUAAGGGGGUCAGAAAUUCUGAACCCUGUGUCUCGAGAUUUAUCAUUUUUGCAUGAUUUUGCGGAAUUCUAUGCUGCAGGAUUCAGAUUUUCUGACACCUUUUUACAAUAUCGGGCCCUAAAGCCUUCAGAAAUCACUUUAGUAUUUUGCUUGUAAGGGGGUCAGAAAUCUGAACCCCGUGUCUCAAGAUUUAUCAUUUUUGCAUGAUUUUGCGGAAUUCUAUGUUGCAGGGUUCAGAUUUUCUGACACCUUUUUACAAUAUCGGGGCCUAAAGCCUUCAGAAAUCACUUUAGUAUUUUGCUUGUAAGGGGGUCAGAUUUUCUGAACCCCGUGUCUCAAGAUUUAUCAUUUUUGCAUGAUUUUGCGGAAUUCUAUGUUGCAGGGUUCAGAUUUUCCGACACCUUUUUACAAUAUCGGGGCCUAAAGCCUUCAGAAAUCACUUUAGUAUUUUUCUUGUAAGGGGGUCAGAUUUUCUGAACCCCGUGUCUCAAGAUUUAUUAUUUUUGCAUGAUUUUGCGGAAUUCUAUGUUGCAG